AGACCGGCUUACUGGCCGUGCUUUUGUACGUACUGGUAUAAUCGGUUUCUCCUUUCUGACGAACUAUAAUGCCAUUAAUUUGGUGUUAUAAGGAAUCAGGACUGUUACUUUGAAAAAAUUUGAGUGUUUAAAGCAGGCUCACGCUUGAAUACAUUAGCAUGGAAUAACGGAAUAGGACGUUUGAUUCUAUUUUGUUGGUUUCUAGGAUCGACGUA
Molecule: ribosomal RNA, 215 nt
Filed under: uncultured fungus
Lineage: Eukaryota; Fungi
Description: partial small subunit ribosomal RNA
Rfam family: Eukaryotic small subunit ribosomal RNA (bases 46-215)
Source: RNAcentral